This 467-nucleotide ribosomal RNA is filed under the name uncultured bacterium. Its description in RNAcentral is "partial 16S ribosomal RNA". It matches the Rfam family "Bacterial small subunit ribosomal RNA", at positions 28 to 507 of the family's 1533-position model. The record is from RNAcentral.
GACGAACGCUGGCGGCGUGCUUAACACAUGCAAGUCGAACGGAAAGGCCCUGCUUUUGUGGGGUGCUCGAGUGGCGAACGGGUGAGUAACACGUGAGUAACCUGCCCUUGACUUUGGGAUAACUUCAGGAAACUGGGGCUAAUACCGGAUAGGAGCUCCUGCUGCAUGGUGGGGGUUGGAAAGUUUCGGCGGUUGGGGAUGGACUCGCGGCUUAUCAGCUUGUUGGUGGGGUAGUGGCUUACCAAGGCUUUGACGGGUAGCCGGCCUGAGAGGGUGACCGGCCACAUUGGGACUGAGAUACGGCCCAGACUCCUACGGGGGGCAGCAGGGGGGAAUAUGGCACAAUGGGCGGAAGCCGGAUGCAGCAACGCCGCGUGCGGGAGGACGGCCUUCGGGUGGUAAACCGCUUUCGCCUGUGACGAAGCGUGGGUGACGGUAUGGGUAAAGAAGCACCGGCUAACUACGUG